GAUGAAGAACGUAGCGAAAUGCGAUAAGUAAUGUGAAUUGCAGAAUUCAGUGAAUCAUCGAAUCUUUGAACGCAUAUUGCGCCCCUUGGUUAUUCCGGGAGGCACACCUGUUCGAGCGUCAUUACAACACUCAAGCACCGCUUGGUAUUGGGCGCCGCCGCCCCGGCGGGCCCUAAAGUCAGUGGCGGUGCCGUCCGGCUCCGAGCGUAGUAAUUCUUCUCGCUCUGGAGGUCCGGUCGUGUGCUCGCCAGCAACCCCCAAUUUUUUUCAGGUUGACCUCGGAUCAGGUAGGGAUACCCGCUGAACUUAAGCAUAUCAAUAAGCGGAGGA
Molecule: unclassified non-coding RNA, 330 nt
Filed under: soil metagenome
Description: partial contains 5.8S ribosomal RNA, internal transcribed spacer 2, and large subunit ribosomal RNA
Rfam family: 5.8S ribosomal RNA (bases 1-121)
Source: RNAcentral